This 497-nucleotide ribosomal RNA is filed under the name uncultured bacterium. Its description in RNAcentral is "partial 16S ribosomal RNA". It matches the Rfam family "Bacterial small subunit ribosomal RNA", at positions 28 to 507 of the family's 1533-position model. The record is from RNAcentral.
GACGAACGCUGGCGGCGUGCCUAAUACAUGCAAGUAGAACGCUGAAGAGAGGAGCUUGCUCUUCUUGGAUGAGUUGCGAACGGGUGAGUAACGCGUAGGUAACCUGCCUGGUAGCGGGGGAUAACUAUUGGAAACGAUAGCUAAUACCGCAUAAAAUUGAUUAUUGCAUGAUAAUUAAUUGAAAGAUGCAACUGCAUCACUACCAGAUGGACCUGCGUUGUAUUAGCUAGUUGGUGAGGUAACGGCUCACCAAGGCGACGAUACAUAGCCGACCUGAGAGGGUGAUCGGCCACACUGGGACUGAGACACGGCCCAGACUCCUACGGGAGGCAGCAGUAGGGAAUCUUCGGCAAUGGGGGGAACCCUGACCGAGCAACGCCGCGUGAGUGAAGAAGGUUUUCGGAUCGUAAAGCUCUGUUGUAAGAGAAGAACGGGGGUGAGAGUGGAAAGUUCACACUGUGACGGUAUCUUACCAGAAAGGGACGGCUAACUACGUG